UACGUAGGGUGCAAGCGUUGUCCGGAAUUAUUGGGCGUAAAGAGCUUGUAGGCGGUUUGUCGCGUCUGCUGUGAAAUUUCGGGGCUCAACUCCGGAUCUGCGGUGGGUACGGGCAGACUAGAGUGAUGUAGGGGAGACUGGAAUUCCUGGUGUAGCGGUGGAAUGCGCAGAUAUCAGGAGGAACACCGGUGGCGAAGGCGGGUCUCUGGGCAGUAACUGACGCUGAGGAGCGAAAGCGUGGGGAGCGAACAGG
RNAcentral lists this ribosomal RNA (253 nucleotides) under uncultured bacterium. Its description in RNAcentral is "partial 16S ribosomal RNA". It matches the Rfam family "Bacterial small subunit ribosomal RNA", at positions 524 to 776 of the family's 1533-position model. The record is from RNAcentral.